GAAGGCAUAGCUCAAUUAGCAGAGCAGGUGCGUCACGUGCACCAGGUCGAAGGCGCGAUUCCUUCUGCCCUCACCA
Molecule: transfer RNA, 76 nt
Filed under: Verrucomicrobiota bacterium
Lineage: Bacteria; Pseudomonadati; Verrucomicrobiota
Description: Verrucomicrobia bacterium tRNA-Val
Source: RNAcentral